Molecule: microRNA precursor, 70 nt
Organism: Ailuropoda melanoleuca (giant panda)
Lineage: Eukaryota; Metazoa; Chordata; Mammalia; Carnivora; Ursidae
Product: microRNA 193a
Source: Ensembl
UGAGGGCUGGGUCUUUGCGGGCGAGAUGAGGGUGUCGGUUCAACUGGCCUACAAAGUCCCAGUCCUCGGC